Mus spicilegus (steppe mouse) is the source of this 144-nucleotide small nucleolar RNA. NCBI's taxonomy places the organism in Eukaryota, Metazoa, Chordata, Mammalia, Rodentia, Muridae. The record is from Ensembl.
CACCCCUGGCAAUGGGCAAAGAGGCACCUUGUUUGUGGUGGUGUUCUUAUAUCAGUCAGGAGCAAAGCAGAUGACAGUCCUUCGAUCAUCUUAGCUUGAUGCCUGGCUUGGUGGCAAAAGCUGUUUCAUGCCUAGGGCACAUUA